This 508-nucleotide long non-coding RNA is filed under the name Hordeum vulgare. Its description in RNAcentral is "long non-coding RNA (HVUL_LNC009465)". The record is from RNAcentral. Lineage: Eukaryota; Viridiplantae; Streptophyta; Magnoliopsida; Poales; Poaceae.
CAUUCAUCAUCGCAUCAUGCGCAUCAUAUGCAUUGCAUCGACACUUCGUUGAUGCCAAUUUUCAAAACUGCAUCCGCUAUUAGUUGCCGGUUCUCUCUGUUUUUGUCGUCGACCAUUUUGAGACCAACCACACACGCACGCGCUAGCGAUAUCGAUAAAAUAUUGUUUUUAAAUGUGUGUAUAAAACUUUCUCACAUUGGAUUGAAACUUGGCAUGCGGUCUUAAUAGUGUGUAGGUAGGCCGCCUGCCAAAUUUCAUCGCAAUCGGAGUUCGAUUGAUGCUCGGACCGUUAAACCUAUAGCGGCACUAUAGCCGAUCCAACGUCAAACAUUUUCGUUGUAUUAAACGCCGAUGCUGGGCUUCCCGUUUUCCCUCUCUUCUACGCCUAGCGCCUCUAGACAGUGCACGGACCUCCACGCAACCUAGUCCGAAAACUCCCCCUGGACCCGAACCCGAUGUUCGUAACCGUUGGAUCCGGAUCAACCCCGUAAUACCCUAAGCCCUCACU